RNAcentral lists this ribosomal RNA (209 nucleotides) under uncultured bacterium. Its description in RNAcentral is "partial 16S ribosomal RNA". It matches the Rfam family "Bacterial small subunit ribosomal RNA", at positions 524 to 730 of the family's 1533-position model. The record is from RNAcentral.
UACGUAGGCAGCGAGCGUUGUUCGGAAUUACUGGGCGUAAAGAGUGUGUAGGCGGUGCUCUAAGUUCGGUGUGAAAUCUCCCGCUUAACUGGGAGGGUGCGCCGGAAACUGGAGUGCUCGAACGUGGGAGAGGAAAGCGGAAUUCCUGGUGUAGCGGGUGAAAUGCGUAGAUAUCAGGAGGGAAACACCCGAUGCGAAGGCAGAUCUCU